This 323-nucleotide ribosomal RNA is filed under the name uncultured Pseudomonadota bacterium. Its description in RNAcentral is "bacterial SSU rRNA". It matches the Rfam family "Bacterial small subunit ribosomal RNA", at positions 30 to 351 of the family's 1533-position model. The record is from RNAcentral. Lineage: Bacteria; Pseudomonadati; Pseudomonadota.
AUUGAACGCUGGCGGCAUGCCUUACACAUGCAAGUCGAACGGCAGCACGGGUGCUUGCACCUGGUGGCGAGUGGCGAACGGGUGAGUAAUAUAUCGGAACGUACCUUAUCGUGGGGGAUAACGCAGCGAAAGCUGUGCUAAUACCGCAUAAGCCCUAAGGGGGAAAGCAGGGGACCGUAAGGCCUUGCGCGAUUAGAGCGGCCGAUACCUGAUUAGCUAGUUGGUGAGGUAAAGGCUCACCAAGGCAACGAUCAGUAGCUGGUCUGAGAGGACGAUCAGCCACACUGGGACUGAGACACGGCCCAGACUCCUACGGGAGGCUG